AGGUUUCAGAACUAUGAACUGGAUUCAGCGCAAGAUCUAUCUUUACAAUGUUACUUUUGGGCUCUACAUGUUGGAUUGGUGGGAGCGUUAUCUUUUCAAUACUUUGAUCAUCAUGUUGAUGUGGUUCAUUCUUUACAACGGAUCACGAUAUGUGACUGAGUUCUGCAAGAGGCUUCUAGGGUGAGGACCUGAACUGGAAUCAACUUGAAGGAUGACAAACAAGGAUGUAUUGUGGAAGAUUUAGGGGGUGUUUGGGAGAGUAGUUUGAGUUAUGUUGUUUGGGUGUUUUGGAUAUACGUGUAGGUGAAAAAAUGUGUGAAAAUGUGUGUAAUUUUGUUUAAAUGUGUAGUUUUGUGUUUGAGAUGGCUUGCCACUCUGCAGCAUAUCCCACUUUGAUUGGAAUGGACUUGGGAGUAUCUUAAGUUGUAAAGAAAACCGUGUAUGUCCUCAAUGUACUUAUUAAAAAAAAAACUAUCGUCCAUGUAUUUUACACCCUUGUCAUAAGGAUUUCAGACCAUUUUCUAUUG
Quercus lobata is the source of this 527-nucleotide RNA transcript. It is a transcript of the gene named transmembrane protein, putative (DUF3317), with no coding region annotated. Lineage: Eukaryota; Viridiplantae; Streptophyta; Magnoliopsida; Fagales; Fagaceae. The transcript has 3 exons. The record is from RefSeq and is a predicted model, not a curated record.